GACGAACGCUGGCGGCGUGCUUAACACAUGCAAGUCGAACGGAAAGGCCCUGAUUUUGUGGGGUGCUCGAGUGGCGAACGGGUGAGUAACACGUGAGUAACAUGCCCUUGACUUUGGGAGAACUUCAGGAAACUGGGGCUAAUACCGGAUAGGAGCUCCUGCUGCAUGGGGGGGGUCGGAAAGAGUCGGUGGUUGGGGAUGGACUAGCGGUUUAUCAGCUUGUUGGUGGGGUAGUGGCGUACCAAGGCUUUGAUGGGUAGCCGGCCUGAGAGGGUGACCGGGUCCAGUGGGCUUGGGAAAGGGGCAAGAGGCAUACGGGAGGAAGGAGUGGGAAAUAUUGGGCAAUGGGCCGCAGCAGGAAGGAGCGACGUCGCGUGCGGGAUGACUGUUUUCGGGUUGGAACCUGCUUUCGCGUGUCACGAAGCGUGAGGGACGGUACUGGUCAAAGAAGCACGGCCUAAUUACGU
Molecule: ribosomal RNA, 467 nt
Filed under: uncultured bacterium
Lineage: Bacteria
Description: partial 16S ribosomal RNA
Rfam family: Bacterial small subunit ribosomal RNA
Source: RNAcentral